Lactuca sativa (garden lettuce) is the source of this 768-nucleotide long non-coding RNA. RefSeq lists it as uncharacterized. The record is from RefSeq and is a predicted model, not a curated record. NCBI's taxonomy places the organism in Eukaryota, Viridiplantae, Streptophyta, Magnoliopsida, Asterales, Asteraceae.
AAUUUCCUUUACCUCCUUUCCCUACCUCAGUUUUUUUAUUUCAUUUCCCGCUUUUCCCCUUUUCCAAAUUGUUAAAUCCUAAAUGAGGCCUCCCUUUUCCUAUUGAGCUAGGGGUAGUCUAAGCCUCAACAGAAAGAACACAAAUACAAUCAAUAAUCAUACACGAUUCAACUUCAUUUUUUCAAUUGUUCAUCAUCUCUUCCCCUACAUCCAGAUUCUCCCCAUUGUUCUAGUUCGACUGAACCAAGUUGUCACUCUAAUCUGCGUCUGUGAAUCCAUCCGCCUAAAAUCAAAUUGUCGUUCGACUGUUCAAUCAAUUUCCCGUCUAUCGACCGCCAUCUGUUCGAUUAUUCUAGUUUCAUUGAUACCAAACAAGCGUAUAUGGGUCUGUUACUAUGCUUACAAUUUUGACUUUAUGUAGAGAUCUCGUGAUUUAAGUUACUAGCUUCUUAUUCCAACUCUCGUUUACGCCUCUGAUAACAAGUGGGAAGGCAAAACAGGAAAUCUGCAGAGGCUUUUGCUAAAAAUGAUGGCAAAGGUAAAAUCAGAAGUUUGAUAAACAAGAGGAGCAAUUAUAAGAAGUUCAAGGUCAAUGAAGUUUCAUGUUUCUUCCCCAACACAUAUCAAGUUUGAUAGUAUUAUGGUUUAAGUACUAGCACAACAUUUAGACUUAUUAAACUUUUGAGAAGAUGCUUGUAUUUUAACUAUAUUGAGAAUGUUGUUCUUAAACAAGUUUAAAAUGAUGUAAUGAUAUUGUGUUUUCAUUUA